This 446-nucleotide ribosomal RNA is filed under the name uncultured bacterium. Its description in RNAcentral is "partial 16S ribosomal RNA". It matches the Rfam family "Bacterial small subunit ribosomal RNA", at positions 329 to 792 of the family's 1533-position model. The record is from RNAcentral.
UCCCAGACUCCUACGGGAGGCAGCAGUGGGGAAUAUUGCACAAUGGGGGAAACCCUGAUGCAGCAACGCCGCGUGAGUGAAGAAGUAUUUCGGUAUGUAAAGCUCUAUCAGCAGGGAAGAAAAUGACAGUACCUGACUAAGAAGCCCCGGCUAACUACGCGCCAGCAGCCGCGGUAAUACGUAGGGGGCAAGCGUUAUCCGGAUUUACUGGGUGUAAAGGGAGCGUAGACGGCUGUGCAAGCCAGGAGUGAAAGCCCGGGGCCCGACCCCGGGACUGCUCUUGGAACUGCGCGGCUGGAGUGCAGGAGGGGCAGGCGGAAUUCCUGGUGUAGCGGUGAAAUGCGUAGAUAUCAGGAGGAACACCGGUGGCGAAGGCGGCCUGCUGGACUGCAACUGACGUUGAGGCCCGAAAGCGUGGGGAGCAAACAGGAUUAGAUACCCCAGUA